This 509-nucleotide ribosomal RNA is filed under the name uncultured bacterium. Its description in RNAcentral is "bacterial SSU rRNA". It matches the Rfam family "Bacterial small subunit ribosomal RNA", at positions 43 to 507 of the family's 1533-position model. The record is from RNAcentral.
CGGUGCCUAAUACAUGCAAGUCGAACGCAUUCGUGGUUGAAAUGAUAUGAAGAACUUGUCAGAUUUGAUUUUCAACAUUGCAAUGAGUGGCGAGCGGGUGAGUAACACGUGGGAAACUACCUCUUAGCAGGGGAUAACAUUUGGAAACAAAUGCUAAUACCGUAUAAUAAUUAAAACCGCAUGGUUUUAGUUUAAAAGAUGGUCUUGCUAUCACUAAGAGAUGGUCCCGCGGUGUAUUAGUUAGUUGGUGAGGUAAUGGCUCACCAAGACAAUGAUACAUAGCCGAGUUGAGAGACUGACCGGCCACAAUGGGACUGAGACACGGCCCAUACUCCUACGGAGGCAGCAGUAGGGAAUCUUCCACAAUGGACGAAAGUCUGAUGGAGCAACGCCGCGUGUGUGAUGAAGGGUUUCGGCUCGUAAAACACUGUUGUAAGAGAAGAAUGACAUUGAGAGUAACUGUUCAAUGUGUGACGGUAUCUUACCAGAAAGGAACGGCUAAAUACGUG